GAUGAACGCUGGCGGCGUGCUUAACACAUGCAAGUCGAACGAAACACCUUAUUUGAUUUUCUUCGGAACUGAAGAUUUGGUGAUUGAGUGGCGGACGGGUGAGUAACGCGUGGGUAACCUGCCCUGUACAGGGGGAUAACAGUCAGAAAUGACUGCUAAUACCGCAUAAGACCACAGCACCGCAUGGUGCAGGGGUAAGAACUCCGGUGGUACAGGAUGGACCCGCGUCUGAUUAGCUGGUUGGUGAGGUAACGGCUCACCAAGGCGACGAUCAGUAGCCGGCUUGAGAGAGUGAACGGCCACAUUGGGACUGAGACACGGCCCAAACUCCUACGGGAGGCAGCAGUGGGGAAUAUUGCACAAUGGGGGAAACCCUGAUGCAGCGACGCCGCGUGAGUGAAGAAGUAUUUCGGUAUGUAAAGCUCUAUCAGCAGGGAAGAAAAUGACGGUACCUGACUAAGAAGCCCCGGCUAACUACGUG
RNAcentral lists this ribosomal RNA (481 nucleotides) under uncultured bacterium. RNAcentral describes it as "partial 16S ribosomal RNA". It matches the Rfam family "Bacterial small subunit ribosomal RNA", at positions 28 to 507 of the family's 1533-position model. The record is from RNAcentral.